RNAcentral lists this ribosomal RNA (468 nucleotides) under uncultured bacterium. RNAcentral's name for it is "partial 16S ribosomal RNA". It matches the Rfam family "Bacterial small subunit ribosomal RNA", at positions 28 to 507 of the family's 1533-position model. The record is from RNAcentral.
GACGAACGCUGGCGGCGUGCUUAACACAUGCAAGUCGAACGGAAAGGCCCUGCUUUUGUGGGGUGCUCGAGUGGCGAACGGGUGAGUAACACGUGAGUAACCUGCCCUUGACUUUGGGAUAACUUCAGGAAACUGGGGCUAAUACCGGAUAGGAGCUCCUGCUGCAUGGUGGGGGUUGGAAAGUUUCGGCGGUUGGGGAUGGACUCGCGGCUUAUCAGCUUGUUGGUGUGGUAGUGGCUUACCAAGGCUUUGACGGGUAGCCGGCCUGAGAGGGUGACCGGCGACAUUGGGACUGAGAUACGGACCAGAAGCCUACGGGAGGCAGCAGUGGGGAAUAUUGCACAAUGGGCGGAAGCCUGAGGCAGAAACGCCGCGUGCGGGAUGACGGCCUUCGGGUUGUAAACCGCUUUCGCAGGUGACGAAGCGUGAGUGACGGUAAUGGGUAAAGAAGCACCGGCUAACUACGUG